CCCAGUGAGCCCCGCCCUCUGCUUCAGCAUCCUAAAAUUGUUGCACAUGGUGGGUUUAUGUUGGAGGGUACUUUGCCUCAAUACAUGGAUGGGAUCUGGACACAUCGCCACCUACUGUUCACCAAGAGUUUUACAGUUGAGAGUCGUGAGUCCAAACAGGUAUUCAAAGGUGGUUUGGGGUGUAAGACAGAGUCAUAUCUGCACCUCCAUACAGGACCAUUGUGAGUUAGUGGAUGACAUGUGCCAACAAAUCAAAGAUAAAUCAGGGGAUAAAACGGUGUGUUGAAAUUGCCCCACUGCAUUUUCUGUCUUCAUGCGGCACCCUGACAGUGCCCCAGUGUGCCUGGCCACUGGAUCACACAAGGAACAGACACAUUGGGCUAACAUACUGCAAGCUGCAACACAACAUUAAAACUCUGGUAUAAUUCUUCUUCUACUGUUCACAAUCAUAAGCGAAACAAAAUUCAACAAGCUUCGAUGCCUUCUUUUCAAGUUAUUCUUUUCCCAUCCUUUCCCUUGAUGGUCUGUAAGCUCUCUGGUGGG
Long non-coding RNA from Etheostoma spectabile (orangethroat darter), 543 nucleotides. RefSeq lists it as uncharacterized. The record is from RefSeq and is a predicted model, not a curated record. Lineage: Eukaryota; Metazoa; Chordata; Actinopteri; Perciformes; Percidae. The transcript is spliced from 4 exons.